Molecule: long non-coding RNA, 1089 nt
Filed under: Dermacentor andersoni
Lineage: Eukaryota; Metazoa; Arthropoda; Arachnida; Ixodida; Ixodidae
Description: uncharacterized LOC126539424
Source: RNAcentral
UACCGCGGCAGAACGCUGUCGGGACCUGGCUGCGGUCGACGUGUCUGGGAGUGCGGUGUGCCUGGUGUGGGAUCCCCGAGCUGCAUGCCGUGUCAGUCUGCGGCGCCACCAUACGUCCUUCUAGCCAGGCCAUCGGGAGGUGGGCAGCCUCGUUCUUCACGUUUCGCGGGCGGUUUGAGCGGUGCAUUUACCCUCGGUGAAAUAACUUCGUGCCAGUGACAUUGUAAUGCCUGCACAGUACAGGUUAACUCUGCUCGGUCGCCUAGGAAACGGCUGGUCAUGAGCAAUGCCGUGUGAGAGUGGCAGAAUGUUGUCGGGGGCCUGGCUGCGGACGACAUGGCUGCGAGUGGGCGCACUGCAAAGGAGGAUACCAGAGGGCAAGAACAAGUCCACGUACGGUGAUGGACAAGGAUACGGUGAAAACACGCAGUUCAUCGCAGCCGUGGCAGAUGAUGCCAUCCGUUCCCUAGGGGUCGAAUCAACGUGUUUUGAGUGACGUCAACGCAGACGACACCGACAUCAGAUUUAUUGUGGACGAAACUGGACAGGUGCAGGAAGGUGCGCUGCUUGUGGCAUCGCCGAAACUGGAGCCGUGUUCCGUGUCGGCGCCCCCAGGUGUCCUCCUCGCCAGUUCAACAAGACAACAAGGAGUGCGUGGAGCCGACCACCGUGCGAGUCCCGGCGCCGACAGACGUCCUCCUAGAAAGCUGAAGCAGGCGAGUGCAGCCGUGUUCUUCACGUUUUAAGGUGUGCGUGGCGUUGGAUCCUCAAGCCGGCCUCCCGUCAGUCCCGGCGCCAGCAGACGUUGUCCUGCCGGCCAAUCGAGAGGAGAUUACAGUAUGCCGGAGUUGGCAAGAUGCAGCAACCAGGGACUCAAGCUUCAUCCACCAAGCGGGCUGCUCCGCACAUAUUGGACACAUUCGUGAAAACAGUUCUGUCCCAGUUCUGGUUCUGUCCCAGGGAGUACUUCCAAGAGUUGGGCAUGAUGGCCAUAACCGCCGGAAUUCUCCCAGACGAUAAUAAAGCAAUGAAACAAAGCCUUCUAUGCGGCGCAAACAAGCAUAAAAGCCUUGGCGCACGCAAUGAGCA